CCGGGGGAACUGAAACAUCUAAGUACCCCGAGGAAAAGAAAUCAACCGAGAUUCCCCCAGUAGCGGCGAGCGAACGGGGAGGAGCCCAGAGCCUGAAUCAGUGUGUGUGUUAGUGGAAGCGUCUGGAAAGGCGCGCGAUACAGGGUGACAGCCCCGUACACAAAAAUGCACAUACUGUGAGCUCGAUGAGUAGGGCGGGACACGUGGUAUCCUGUCUGAAUAUGGGGGGACCAUCCUCCAAGGCUAAAUACUCCUGACUGACCGAUAGUGAACCAGUACCGUGAGGGAAAGGCGAAAAGAACCCCGGCGAGGGGAGUGAAAAAGAACCUGAAACCGUGUACGUACAAGCAGUGGGAGCCUCUUAAUGGGGUGACUGCGUACCUUUUGUAUAAUGGGUCAGCGACUUAUAUUCUGUAGCAAGGUUAACCGAAUAGGGGAGCCGAAGGGAAACCGAGUCUUAACUGGGCGUUAAGUUGCAGGGUAUAGACCCGAAACCCGGUGAUCUAGCCAUGGGCAGGUUGAAGGUUGGGUAACACUAACUGGAGGACCGAACCGACUAAUGUUGAAAAAUUAGCGGAUGACUUGUGGCUGGGGGUGAAAGGCCAAUCAAACCGGGAGAUAGCUGGUUCUCCCCGAAAGCUAUUUAGGUAGCGCCUCGUGAAUUCAUCUCCGGGGGUAGAGCACUGUUUCGGCAAGGGGGUCAUCCCGACUUACCAACCCGAUGCAAACUGCGAAUACCGGAGAAUGUUAUCACGGGAGACACACGGCGGGUGCUAACGUCCGUCGUGAAGAGGGAAACAACCCAGACCGCCAGCUAAGGUCCCAAAGUCAUGGUUAAGUGGGAAACGAUGUGGGAAGGCCCAGACAGCCAGGAUGUUGGCUUAGAAGCAGCCAUCAUUUAAAGAAAGCGUAAUAGCUCACUGGUCGAGUCGGCCUGCGCGGAAGAUGUAACGGGGCUAAACCAUGCACCGAAGCUGCGGCAGCGACACUAUGUGUUGUUGGGUAGGGGAGCG
This 1013-nucleotide ribosomal RNA is filed under the name Escherichia coli. RNAcentral describes it as "partial 23S ribosomal RNA". It matches the Rfam family "Bacterial large subunit ribosomal RNA", at positions 184 to 1238 of the family's 2925-position model. The record is from RNAcentral. Lineage: Bacteria; Pseudomonadati; Pseudomonadota; Gammaproteobacteria; Enterobacterales; Enterobacteriaceae.